RNAcentral lists this non-coding RNA (44 nucleotides) under Trichobilharzia regenti. The record is from RNAcentral. Lineage: Eukaryota; Metazoa; Platyhelminthes; Trematoda; Strigeidida; Schistosomatidae.
CGCAGAUGACGAAUCCAAAACAGGACGAAACACGUGUCCUCGAU